UACGGGGGGAGCAAGCGUUGUUCGGAUUUACUGGGCGUAAAGGGCGCGUAGGCGGCCUCCGCAAGUCAGUUGUGAAAUCUCCGAGCUUAACUCGGAAAGGUCAACUGAUACUGCGGGGCUAGAGUGCGGAAGGGGCAACUGGAAUUCUUGGUGUAGCGGUGAAAUGCGUAGAUAUCGAGAGGAACACCGGUGGCGAAGGCGAGUCCCUGGACAAUUCCUGACACUGAGGCACGAAAGCUAGGGGAGCAAACAGG
RNAcentral lists this ribosomal RNA (254 nucleotides) under uncultured bacterium. Its description in RNAcentral is "partial 16S ribosomal RNA". It matches the Rfam family "Bacterial small subunit ribosomal RNA", at positions 524 to 776 of the family's 1533-position model. The record is from RNAcentral.